UAACACUAAUCUAUUACUAUUACAUAAGCAUAACUCUUGAGACUUCCCGAACGACUUCAAACCUGCAACACUGGGGUUAGGGGAGAGGGGUGAGCUAAAAAGCCUAGUGAGUAGAAACAGAAGAAAAACAGUUCAUUAAUUACAUGCUUUCAUGAAAUGCGUCACAGCACAAACAUUUCACAUCAAGGAUUGGACCUAAC
RNAcentral lists this long non-coding RNA (200 nucleotides) under Manihot esculenta (cassava). Its description in RNAcentral is "long non-coding RNA (MESC_LNC008690)". Lineage: Eukaryota; Viridiplantae; Streptophyta; Magnoliopsida; Malpighiales; Euphorbiaceae. The record is from RNAcentral.